GUUUUAGUUGUACAUUGUACAAUAGACAUUCCAUUACAUCCAGAGUGUGUAAAAGUACUCGAGUACCAGGGCCUUUGAGGGGCCCAUGCAAAGCGGUACUCAGAGUCAUAGGUGCACAGGUGUGUGGGAUUUGCGACUUGCAACGUGCACAUGUGUCUCCACCAGCACAGAUGACAAGCCGACUUUGAAGUUUCAUUAAUGAUCCUUCCGCAGGUUCACCUACGGAAA
This 228-nucleotide unclassified non-coding RNA is filed under the name uncultured fungus. Its description in RNAcentral is "sequence contains ITS1". The record is from RNAcentral. Lineage: Eukaryota; Fungi.